GGAUGUUGCUCAGAGGUAGAACACUUGCCUAGCAUGCAGAAGGCCCUGGGUUUAACUCCCAGUACCA
RNAcentral lists this transfer RNA (67 nucleotides) under Marmota monax (woodchuck). RNAcentral's name for it is "tRNA.Ala". Lineage: Eukaryota; Metazoa; Chordata; Mammalia; Rodentia; Sciuridae. The record is from RNAcentral.